Molecule: transfer RNA, 93 nt
Filed under: Staphylococcus aureus
Lineage: Bacteria; Bacillati; Bacillota; Bacilli; Caryophanales; Staphylococcaceae
Description: tRNA-Ser
Rfam family: tRNA
About the family: Transfer RNA (tRNA) molecules are approximately 80 nucleotides in length. Their secondary structure includes four short double-helical elements and three loops (D, anti-codon, and T loops). Further hydrogen bonds mediate the characteristic L-shaped molecular structure. tRNAs have two regions of fundamental functional importance: the anti-codon, which is responsible for specific mRNA codon recognition, and the 3' end, to which the tRNAs corresponding amino acid is attached (by aminoacyl-tRNA synthetases). tRNAs cope with the degeneracy of the genetic code in two manners: having more than one tRNA (with a specific anti-codon) for a particular amino acid; and 'wobble' base-pairing, i.e. permitting non-standard base-pairing at the 3rd anti-codon position.
Source: RNAcentral
GGAGGAAUACCCAAGUCCGGCUGAAGGGAUCGGUCUUGAAAACCGACAUGGGCUUAACGGCUCGCGGGGGUUCGAAUCCCUCUUCCUCCGCCA